CGUGAAAUUGUUGAAAGGGAAGCGUUUAUGACCAGGCUUGGGCUUGGUUAAUCAUCUGGGGUUCUCCCCAGUGCGCUUUUCCAGUCCAGGCCAGCAUCAGUUUUCCCCGGGGGAUAAAGGCGGCGGGAAUGUGGCUCUCUUCGGGGAGUGUUAUAGCCCACCGUGUAAUACCCUGGGGGGGACUGAGGUUCGCGCAUCUGCAAGGAUGCUGGCGUAAUGGUCAUCAACGACCCGUCUUGAAACACGG
This 247-nucleotide ribosomal RNA is filed under the name Fusarium sp. RNAcentral describes it as "partial large subunit ribosomal RNA". It matches the Rfam family "Eukaryotic large subunit ribosomal RNA", at positions 398 to 664 of the family's 3401-position model. Lineage: Eukaryota; Fungi; Ascomycota; Sordariomycetes; Hypocreales; Nectriaceae. The record is from RNAcentral.